RNAcentral lists this transfer RNA (71 nucleotides) under Loxodonta africana (African savanna elephant). It matches the Rfam family "tRNA". From Rfam's summary of the family: Transfer RNA (tRNA) molecules are approximately 80 nucleotides in length. Their secondary structure includes four short double-helical elements and three loops (D, anti-codon, and T loops). The record is from Rfam by way of RNAcentral. Lineage: Eukaryota; Metazoa; Chordata; Mammalia; Proboscidea; Elephantidae.
ACAUUGGUGGUGCAGUGGUAGAAUUCUUGCUUUCCAUGCAGGAAACCUGGGUCUGAUUCCUGGCCAAUGCA